This 245-nucleotide ribosomal RNA is filed under the name uncultured bacterium. RNAcentral's name for it is "partial 16S ribosomal RNA". It matches the Rfam family "Bacterial small subunit ribosomal RNA", at positions 524 to 768 of the family's 1533-position model. The record is from RNAcentral.
UACGUAGGAAGCUAGCGUUAUCCGGAUUUAUUGGGCGUAAAGCGGGCGUAGGUGGUCCUUCAAGUCCGAUGUGAAAUCUCCUGGCUUAACUGGGAGGGUGCAUCGGAUACUGUUGGACUGGAGUGCAGCAGAGGAAGAUGGAAUUCCCGGUGUAGUGGUGAAAUGCGUAGAUAUCGGGAGGAACACUAGUGGCGAAGGCGGUCUUCUGGGCUGUAACUGACACUGAGGUCCGAAGGCGUGGGGAG